CCUACGGGAGGCAGCAGUGGGGAAUAUUGCACAAUGGGGGAAACCCUGAUGCAGCGACGCCGCGUGAGUGAAGAAGUAUUUCGGUAUGUAAAGCUCUAUCAGCAGGGAAGAAGAAAGACGGUACCUGACUAAGAAGCCCCGGCUAACUACGUGCCAGCAGCCGCGGUAAUACGGAGGGGGCAAGCGUUAUCCGGCUUUACUGGGUGUAACGGGAGAGUAGACGGCUGUGCAAGUCUGAAGUGAAAGCCCAGGGCUCAACCCUGGGACUGCUUUGGAUACUGUGGAGCUAGAGUGCUGGAGAGGUAAGUGGAAUGCCUAGUGUAGCGGUGAAAUGCGUAGAUAUUAGGAGGAACACCAGUGGCGAAGGCGGCUUACUGGACAGUAACUGACGUUGAGGCUCGAAAGCGUGGGGAGCAAACAGGAUUAGAUACCCCAGUAGUC
RNAcentral lists this ribosomal RNA (441 nucleotides) under uncultured bacterium. RNAcentral describes it as "partial 16S ribosomal RNA". It matches the Rfam family "Bacterial small subunit ribosomal RNA", at positions 338 to 795 of the family's 1533-position model. The record is from RNAcentral.